CGGGAUAGCUCAGCUGGUAGAGCAAAGGACUGAAAAUC
This 38-nucleotide transfer RNA is filed under the name Aquilaria sinensis. Its description in RNAcentral is "partial tRNA-Phe". RNAcentral also lists the same sequence under 2 other names. The record is from RNAcentral. Lineage: Eukaryota; Viridiplantae; Streptophyta; Magnoliopsida; Malvales; Thymelaeaceae.